UACAGAGGUCCCAAGCGUUGUUCGGAUUCACUGGGCGUAAAGGGUGCGUAGGUGGUGGGGUAAGUCGGAUGUGAAAGCUCGGAGCUCAACUCCGAAAUGGCAUUGGAAACUACCCUGCUAGAGGAUUGGAGGGGGGACUGGAAUACUUGGUGUAGCAGUGAAAUGCGUAGAUAUCUGGAGGAAUACCGGUGGCGAAGGCGGCAUCCUGGACCGGCAUUGGCGCUGAGUGAGCGAAAGCCAGGGGAGCAAACGGG
Molecule: ribosomal RNA, 254 nt
Filed under: uncultured bacterium
Lineage: Bacteria
Description: partial 16S ribosomal RNA
Rfam family: Bacterial small subunit ribosomal RNA
Source: RNAcentral